ACUAAGCGUACACGGUGGAUGCCCUGGCAGUCAGAGGCGAUGAAGGACGUGCUAAUCUGCGAUAAGCGUCGGUAAGGUGAUAUGAACCGUUAUAACCGGCGAUUUCCGAAUGGGGAAACCCAGUGUGAUUCGUCACACUAUCAUUAACUGAAUCCAUAGGUUAAUGAGGCGAACCGGGGGAACUGAAACAUCUAAGUACCCCGAGGAAAAGAAAUCAACCGAGAUUCCCCCAGUAGCGGCGAGCGAACGGGGAGGAGCCCAGAGCCUGAAUCAGUGUGUGUGUUAGUGGAAGCGUCUGGAAAGGCGCGCGAUACAGGGUGACAGCCCCGUACACAAAAAUGCACAUGCUGUGAGCUCGAUGAGUAGGGCGGGACACGUGGUAUCCUGUCUGAAUAUGGGGGGACCAUCCUCCAAGGCUAAAUACUCCUGACUGACCGAUAGUGAACCAGUACCGUGAGGGAAAGGCGAAAAGAACCCCGGCGAGGGGAGUGAAAAAGAACCUGAAACCGUGUACGUACAAGCAGUGGGAGCACGCUUAGGCGUGUGACUGCGUACCUUUUGUAUAAUGGGUCAGCGACUUAUAUUCUGUAGCAAGGUUAACCGAAUAGGGGAGCCGAAGGGAAACCGAGUCUUAACUGGGCGUUAAGUUGCAGGGUAUAGACCCGAAACCCGGUGAUCUAGCCAUGGGCAGGUUGAAGGUUGGGUAACACUAACUGGAGGACCGAACCGACUAAUGUUGAAAAAUUAGCGGAUGACUUGUGGCUGGGGGUGAAAGGCCAAUCAAACCGGGAGAUAGCUGGUUCUCCCCGAAAGCUAUUUAGGUAGCGCCUCGUGAAUUCAUCUCCGGGGGUAGAGCACUGUUUCGGCAAGGGGGUCAUCCCGACUUACCAACCCGAUGCAAACUGCGAAUACCGGAGAAUGUUAUCACGGGAGACACACGGCGGGUGCUAACGUCCGUCGUGAAGAGGGAAACAACCCAGACCGCCAGCUAAGGUCCCAAAGUCAUGGUUAAGUGGGAAACGAUGUGGGAAGGCCCAGACAGCCAGGAUGUUGGCUUAGAAGCAGCCAUCAUUUAAAGAAAGCGUAAUAGCUCACUGGUCGAGUCGGCCUGCGCGGAAGAUGUAACGGGGCUAAACCAUGCACCGAAGCUGCGGCAGCGACGCUGAUGCGUUGUUGGGUAGGGGAGCGUUCUGUAAGCCUGUGAAAGUGUGCUGUGAGGCAUGCUGGAGGUAUCAGAAGUGCGAAUGCUGACAUAAGUAACGAUAAAGCGGGUGAAAAGCCCGCUCGCCGGAAGACCAAGGGUUCCUGUCCAACGUUAAUCGGGGCAGGGUGAGUCGACCCCUAAGGCGAGGCCGAAAGGCGUAGUCGAUGGGAAACAGGUUAAUAUUCCUGUACUUGGUGUUACUGCGAAGGGGGGACGGAGAAGGCUAUGUUGGCCGGGCGACGGUUGUCCUGGUUUAAGCGUGUAGGCUGGUUUUCCAGGCAAAUCCGGAAAACUAAGGCUGAGGCGUGAUGACGAGGCACUACGGUGCUGAAGCAACAAAUGCCCUGCUUCCAGGAAAAGCCUCUAAGCAUCAGGUAACAUCAAAUCGUACCCCAAACCGACACAGGUGGUCAGGUAGAGAAUACCAAGGCGCUUGAGAGAACUCGGGUGAAGGAACUAGGCAAAAUGGUGCCGUAACUUCGGGAGAAGGCACGCUGAUAUGUAGGUGAAGUCCCUCGCGGAUGGAGCUGAAAUCAGUCGAAGAUACCAGCUGGCUGCAACUGUUUAUUAAAAACACAGCACUGUGCAAACACGAAAGUGGACGUAUACGGUGUGACGCCUGCCCGGUGCCGGAAGGUUAAUUGAUGGGGUCAGCGCAAGCGAAGCUCUUGAUCGAAGCCCCGGUAAACGGCGGCCGUAACUAUAACGGUCCUAAGGUAGCGAAAUUCCUUGUCGGGUAAGUUCCGACCUGCACGAAUGGCGUAAUGAUGGCCAGGCUGUCUCCACCCGAGACUCAGUGAAAUUGAACUCGCUGUGAAGAUGCAGUGUACCCGCGGCAAGACGGAAAGACCCCGUGAACCUUUACUAUAGCUUGACACUGAACAUUGAGCCUUGAUGUGUAGGAUAGGUGGGAGGCUUUGAAGUGUGGACGCCAGUCUGCAUGGAGCCGACCUUGAAAUACCACCCUUUAAUGUUUGAUGUUCUAACGUUGACCCGUGAUCCGGGUUGCGGACAGUGUCUGGUGGGUAGUUUGACUGGGGCGGUCUCCUCCUAAAGAGUAACGGAGGAGCACGAAGGUUGGCUAAUCCUGGUCGGACAUCAGGAGGUUAGUGCAAUGGCAUAAGCCAGCUUGACUGCGAGCGUGACGGCGCGAGCAGGUGCGAAAGCAGGUCAUAGUGAUCCGGUGGUUCUGAAUGGAAGGGCCAUCGCUCAACGGAUAAAAGGUACUCCGGGGAUAACAGGCUGAUACCGCCCAAGAGUUCAUAUCGACGGCGGUGUUUGGCACCUCGAUGUCGGCUCAUCACAUCCUGGGGCUGAAGUAGGUCCCAAGGGUAUGGCUGUUCGCCAUUUAAAGUGGUACGCGAGCUGGGUUUAGAACGUCGUGAGACAGUUCGGUCCCUAUCUGCCGUGGGCGCUGGAGAACUGAGGGGGGCUGCUCCUAGUACGAGAGGACCGGAGUGGACGCAUCACUGGUGUUCGGGUUGUCAUGCCAAUGGCACUGCCCGGUAGCUAAAUGCGGAAGAGAUAAGUGCUGAAAGCAUCUAAGCACGAAACUUGCCCCGAGAUGAGUUCUCCCUGACCCUUUAAGGGUCCUGAAGGAACGUUGAAGACGACGACGUUGAUAGGCCGGGUGUGUAAGCGCAGCGAUGCGUUGAGCUAACCGGUACUAAUGAACCGUGAGGCUUAACC
Molecule: ribosomal RNA, 2893 nt
Filed under: Escherichia coli
Lineage: Bacteria; Pseudomonadati; Pseudomonadota; Gammaproteobacteria; Enterobacterales; Enterobacteriaceae
Description: bacterial LSU rRNA
Rfam family: Bacterial large subunit ribosomal RNA
Source: RNAcentral